AUCUCUAGGAGUUCCAAACUUUCCCACAUUUUUAUGUCUUCUGAGUCCUCCCAACUAUUCCAGCCUCUGCCUGUUAACCAGUUCCGAAGGAGUUCCCCGACCGCUUGUGCUUCCCAGAAGGAAGAAAUUUGGAUACAGAGACAGACAUGCACCAAGAGAAGAUGAUGUGAAGAAACACAGCAAGAAGACCAUGUGAAAAUGGAGGGCUGGAAUGAAGCAUCUACAAGCCAGGAAAUGUCUGAGGCUACCAGAAGCCAGGAGAGAGGCCUGGACCAGAUCCUGCACUAGAGCCUUUAAAGAGAGCAUGGUCCUGCUGAUAUGUUGAUUUUGGACUUCUGGCCUCCAGAGCUGUGAGAAUAAAUUUCAGUUGUUUUAAGCCA
Molecule: long non-coding RNA, 380 nt
Organism: Cercocebus atys (sooty mangabey)
Lineage: Eukaryota; Metazoa; Chordata; Mammalia; Primates; Cercopithecidae
Exons: 2
Source: RefSeq, a predicted model, not a curated record